GAAGAGAAGGAAAAAAAAAAAAAAAGCAUCAUGCAUGUGAGGGAGGGACGUUGUCUGCCUCUGUCUGGGGCAUCAGAAGUCCUUUUUUUUUUUUUUUUUUU
This 101-nucleotide non-coding RNA is filed under the name Chromera velia. Lineage: Eukaryota; Chromeraceae. The record is from RNAcentral.